RNAcentral lists this unclassified non-coding RNA (1854 nucleotides) under Hevea brasiliensis (rubber tree). Lineage: Eukaryota; Viridiplantae; Streptophyta; Magnoliopsida; Malpighiales; Euphorbiaceae. The record is from RNAcentral.
UUUAUAUAUCUCAGGGAAGAAUGUCAAAUUAUACAGUGAAAGUUGAAGAAACCCGGCCAGCUUCUGACGGAAAGCCGUCAGCAGGGCCAGUUUAUAGGAAUAUUUAUGCUAAAGAUGGCCUCAUGGAAAUGCCUACUCGUUUUGAGUCACCUUGGGACUUCUUUAGUGAAUCAGUUAAGAAAAAUCCUAAAAAUCAAAUGCUGGGCCGCCGUCAGGUUGUUGACAAAAAGGCAGGUCCCUACAGUUGGCUAACAUAUGAGGAGGUUUAUGAAACCACAAUUAAGAUUGGUUCAGCCAUCCGAAAUCGUGGUGUUAAUCCGGGAGACCGGUGUGGCAUCUAUGGUGUGAACUGUCCUGAGUGGAUAAUGGCUAUGGAGGCUUGUAACAGCCAAGCAAUUUCAUAUGUACCACUCUAUGAUUCUCUUGGUGCAAAUGCAGUUGAAUUUAUCAUCAACCACGCUGAAGUUUCAAUAACUUUUGCCCAAGAAAGCAAGAUACCUGCUAUCUUAUCAUGCUUGUCUAAGUGCAAUUCUUAUCUAAAAACUAUCGUCAGCUUUGGAAACAUCUCAAGCACACAGAGAAGUGAAGCCGAGGAACAAGGAGUAGCUUGCUUCUCAUGGGAAGAGUUUGUUCAAAUGGGAAGUUUGGAUCCUGAACUUCCUCAGAAAAGGAAAACUGAUAUUUCCUCAAUUAUGUACACUAGUGGAACUACUGGAGAACCAAAAGGUGUCAUUCUGACUAAUGGUGCUUUCAUGGGAGAAGUUCUGUCGAUGGAUCAACUUCUCGUUGAAACAGACAAAGAGGGAACGGGGGAGGAUGUGUACUUUUCGUUCCUUCCACUUGCUCAUAUAUUUGAUCAAAUAAUUGAGACAUAUUGCAUAUACAGAGGUGCUUCAAUAGGAUUUUGGCAAGGCGACAUUAGAUACUUGAUUGAAGAUCUUCUGGUAUUAAAACCGACUAUAUUCUGUGGAGUUCCACGAGUUUAUGACCGCAUAUACACAGGGGUGAUGGAUAAAAUCGAAGCUGGAGGUACAUUGAAGAAGCUGCUUUUUCAGUUUGCAUACAACUACAAAUUAAGGAAUAUGGAGAAAGGAUUGAGACAAGAUGAAGCAGCUCCGCGCUUUGACAGGCUUGUUUUUGAUAAGAUCAAACUAGCAUUUGGUGGACGAGUACGUCUGAUGCUUUCUGGAGCUGCUCCUUUGCCCAAGCACGUUGAAGAAUUUCUAAGGGUAACAUGUUGCUGUUCUUUAUCACAAGGAUAUGGUAUUGAAAUUUCUUCUUCACUAUUGUUACUUCUUUAUCACCUUUUUAUCUGCUUAUUUUGACAUAUUAUUCUUCAUUGUUAGGGCUUACUGAAAGUUGUGGAGGAUGUCUCACAUCCAUAGCCAAUGUACACUCCAUGACAGGAACUGUUGGUGUUCCAAUGACUACAAUUGAGGCAAGACUUGAGUCAGUGCCAGAAAUGGGAUAUGAUGCUCUUGCAAGCGUGCCUCGUGGAGAAAUUUGUCUGAGGGGAAAAACCUUGUUUUCGGGGUACCAUAAACGAGAAGAUCUUACAAAAUCUGUACUUGUGGAUGGAUGGUUUCAUACAGGUGACAUUGGUGAGUGGCAACCAGACGGAGCAAUGAAAAUCAUUGACCGGAAAAAGAAUAUAUUCAAGCUGUCCCAAGGGGAGUAUGUAGCUGUAGAAAACAUUGAAGGCGUAUACUCCAGAUGCCCUCUUGUUACAUCAAUUUGGAUAUAUGGUAACAGUUUUGAAUCCUUCCUAGUGGCUGUGGUAGUUCCAGAAAGAAAGGCACUUGAAGAGUGGGCCUCGAAUAAUCAAGAAACCGGAGAUUUUUCAUCUCUAUGUAA